RNAcentral lists this ribosomal RNA (1304 nucleotides) under Pseudolachnella botulispora. RNAcentral describes it as "eukaryotic LSU rRNA". It matches the Rfam family "Eukaryotic large subunit ribosomal RNA", at positions 74 to 1412 of the family's 3401-position model. Lineage: Eukaryota; Fungi; Ascomycota; Sordariomycetes; Chaetosphaeriales; Chaetosphaeriaceae. The record is from RNAcentral.
AUUGCCUCAGUAACGGCGAGUGAAGCGGCAACAGCUCAAAUUUGAAAUCCGGCCCCAGGCCCGAGUUGUAAUUUGCAGAGGAUGCUUCGGGCGCGGCGCCUUCCAAGUCCCCUGGAACGGGGCGCCACAGAGGGUGAGAGCCCCGUCAGGUCGGCCGCCAAGCCUAUGUGAAGCUCCUUCGACGAGUCGAGUAGUUUGGGAAUGCUGCUCUAAAUGGGAGGUAGACCCCUUCUAAAGCUAAAUACCGGCCAGAGACCGAUAGCGCACAAGUAGAGUGAUCGAAAGAUGAAAAGCACUUUGAAAAGAGGGUUAAACAGUACGUGAAAUUGUUGAAAGGGAAGCGCUUGUGACCAGACGUGCGCCGGGCGCUCAGCGGGCGUUCUCGCCCGUGCAUUCGCCCCGGCGCAGGCCAGCGUCGGUUCGGGAGGGGGGACAAAGGCACCAGGAACGUGGCUCCCUCGGGAGUGUUAUAGCCUGGCGCGCCAUGCCCCCGCCCGGACCGAGGUUCGCGCUCCGCAAGGACGCUGGCGUAAUGGUCCCCAGCGGCCCGUCUUGAAACACGGACCAAGGAGUCGAGGUUUUGCGCGAGUGUUUGGGUGUCAAACCCGCACGCGUAAUGAAAGUGAACGCAGGUGGGAGCUUCGGCGCACCACCGACCGAUCCUGAUGUUCUCGGAUGGAUUUGAGUAGGAGCGUAGGGCCUCGGACCCGAAAGAUGGUGAACUAUACUUGGAUAGGGUGAAGCCAGAGGAAACUCUGGUGGAGGCUCGCAGCGGUUCUGACGUGCAAAUCGAUCGUCAAAUCUGAGUAUGGGGGCGAAAGACUAAUCGAACCAUCUAGUAGCUGGUUACCGCCGAAGUUUCCCUCAGGAUAGCAGUGUUGAUCUCAGUUUUAUGAGGUAAAGCGAAUGAUUAGGGACUCGGGGGCGCUUUUCAGCCUUCAUCCAUUCUCAAACUUUAAAUAUGUAAGAAGCCCUUGUUGCUUAGUUGAACGUGGGCCUUCGAAUGCAGCAACACUAGUGGGCCAUUUUUGGUAAGCAGAACUGGCGAUGUGGGAUGAACCAUACGGGGGGUUAAGGUGCCGGAGUGGACGCUCAUCAGACACCACAAAAGGCGUUAGCACAUCUUGACAGCAGGACGGUGGCCAUGGAAGUCGGAAUCCGCUAAGGACUGUGUAACAACUCACCUGCCGAAUGUGCUAGCCCUGAAAAUGGAUGGCGCUCAAGCGUCCCACCCAUACCCCCCCCUCAGGGUAGAAACGAUGCCCUGAGGAGUAGGCGGCCGCAGCGCUGCGUGACGAAGGCUA